This 433-nucleotide ribosomal RNA is filed under the name uncultured bacterium. RNAcentral's name for it is "partial 16S ribosomal RNA". It matches the Rfam family "Bacterial small subunit ribosomal RNA", at positions 29 to 507 of the family's 1533-position model. The record is from RNAcentral.
AACGAACGCUGGCGGCAUGCCUAACACAUGCAAGUCGAACGAGACCUUCGGGUCUGGUGGCGCACGGGUGCGUAACGCGUGGGAACCUGCCCUUAGGUUCGGAAUAACUCCCCGAAAGGGGUGCUAAUACCGGAUAAUGUCUUCGGACCAAAGAUUUAUCGCCUUUGGAUGGGCCCGCGUUGGAUUAGCUAGUUGGUAGGGUAAAAGCCUAUCAAGGCGACGAUCCAUAGCUGGUCUGAGAGGAUGAUCAGCCACACUGGGACUGAGACACGGCCCAGACUCCUACGGGAGGCAGCAGUGGGGAAUAUUGGACAAUGGGCGAAAGCCUGAUCCAGCAAUGCCGCGUGAGUGAUGAAGGCCUUAGGGUUGUAAAGCUCUUUUACCCGGGAUGAUAAUGACAGUACCGGGAGAAUAAGCUCCGGCUAACUCCGUG